RNAcentral lists this ribosomal RNA (397 nucleotides) under uncultured bacterium. RNAcentral's name for it is "partial 16S ribosomal RNA". It matches the Rfam family "Bacterial small subunit ribosomal RNA", at positions 523 to 918 of the family's 1533-position model. The record is from RNAcentral.
AUACGUAGGGGGCGAGCGUUGUCCGGAAUGAUUGGGCGUAAAGGGCGCGUAGGCGGCCCGGUAAGUCUGGAGUGAAAGUCCUGUUUUUAAGAUGGGAAUUGCUUUGGAUACUGUCGGGCUUGAGUGCAGGAGAGGUAAGUGGAAUUCCCAGUGUAGCGGUGAAAUGCGUAGAGAUUGGGAGGAACACAAGUGGCGAAGGCGACUUACUGGACUGGAACUGACGCUGAGGCGCGAAAGUGUGGGGAGCAAACAGGAUUAGAUACCCUGGUAGUCCUCACUGUAAACGAUGAAUGCUAGGUGUAAGAGGGAUCGACCCCUUUUGGGCCGGAGUCAACACAAUAAGCAUUCCGCCUGGGGAGUUCGGCCGCAAGGUUGACACUCAAAUGAAUUGACGGGG